Molecule: transfer RNA, 73 nt
Filed under: Trichonephila clavipes
Lineage: Eukaryota; Metazoa; Arthropoda; Arachnida; Araneae; Nephilidae
Rfam family: tRNA
About the family: Transfer RNA (tRNA) molecules are approximately 80 nucleotides in length.
Source: Rfam by way of RNAcentral
UUCCCUGUAGCUCAAUGCAUAGUGCGUUGAACUUCUAAUUCAAAGGUCGUGGGUUCGAAUACCACCUGGGAUA